UUGUUUUGUUCCAAAUCAAAGCAUAGACGUUCACUGAGCUCGUCACCGAGUUGAUUGAUCCAGUGCUGGACAGAAACAAUUGUCUUUAAAGCCCGAGGACCCGGAAAUGACUUGCCAGAACCAUGGCUCUUAGGAAGAAGGCGUCCCUGAACUUCUUCCCCAUUGAUCCCUCUAGCAAUGUUCCACAACCAGGUACCUGUAUUUAU
This 206-nucleotide unclassified non-coding RNA is filed under the name Hevea brasiliensis (rubber tree). Lineage: Eukaryota; Viridiplantae; Streptophyta; Magnoliopsida; Malpighiales; Euphorbiaceae. The record is from RNAcentral.